Molecule: unclassified non-coding RNA, 190 nt
Filed under: fungal sp.
Lineage: Eukaryota; Fungi
Description: partial internal transcribed spacer region
Rfam family: Eukaryotic small subunit ribosomal RNA (bases 1-46)
Source: RNAcentral
AAGUCGUAACAAGGUAACCGUAGGUGAACCUGCGGUUGGAUCAUUACUGAGAAUUGUAAAGUAAACUUGUGAAUUGUCGCAGAAAGUCUUUAAGAGACAUGGCAACAUUCAAUGUGGGUGAUGGAAGUUGGUAAUAAAAAGUAAAGGGAAAAGUGAAAAACAACUUUUGACAAUGGAUCUCUUGAGUCCU